AUAAAAACUAUGAAAGGGAAAAGUAAGUAGUUCCUAAUUCUUAAAGAGAGUAAGUAUUUGCUGAAAGCUUACAGAUGCGAACUACUGAAGAUCACCCUGGAGUUGCAGGCUGAAUUUUAGUAAGCUGAGCCGGAAAGCCGUUAAAUUCAUGAGUACAUAUUUUUGGGUGGUACCGCGAACAGACUUCGCCCCAAGC
This 196-nucleotide non-coding RNA is filed under the name Clostridium acidisoli. RNAcentral describes it as "T-box sequence". It matches the Rfam family "T-box leader". Rfam says of the family: Uncharged tRNA acts as the effector for transcription antitermination of genes in the T-box leader family. T-boxes are found upstream of many aminoacyl-tRNA synthetase genes and some amino acid biosynthetic genes usually in Gram-positive bacteria. The record is from RNAcentral. Lineage: Bacteria; Bacillati; Bacillota; Clostridia; Eubacteriales; Clostridiaceae.